AACGAACGCUGGCGGCAGGCCUAAUACAUGCAAGUCGAGCGCCCAGCAAUGGGAGCGGCGCACGGGUGCGUAACGCGUGGGAAUAUGCCUCUUGGUACGGAACAACCCAGGGAAACUUGGGCUAAUACCGUAUAAUAUCUUCGGAUCAAAGAUUUAUCGCCAAGAGAUUAGCCCGCGUCUGAUUAGCUAGUUGGUAGGGUAAAGGCUCACCAAGGCGACGAUCAGUAGCUGGUCUUAGAGGAUGAUCAGCCACACUGGAACUGAGACACGGUCCAGACUCCUACGGGAGGCAGCAGUAAGGAAUAUUGGACAAUGGGGGAAACCCUGAUCCAGCCAUGCCGCGUGAGUGACGAAGGCCUUAGGGUUGUAAAGCUCUUUUGGUGGAGAAGAUAAUGACUGUACCGGGAGAAUAAGCCCCGGCUAACUCCGUGCCAGCAGCCGCCGUAA
This 447-nucleotide ribosomal RNA is filed under the name uncultured bacterium. RNAcentral describes it as "partial 16S ribosomal RNA". It matches the Rfam family "Bacterial small subunit ribosomal RNA", at positions 29 to 523 of the family's 1533-position model. The record is from RNAcentral.